ACGGGAGGCAGCAGUGGGGAAUAUUGGACAAUGGGGGAAACCCUGAUCCAGCGACGCCGCGUGAGUGAAGAAGUAUUUCGGUAUGUAAAGCUCUAUCAGCAAGGAAGAAAAUGACGGUACUUGACUAAGAAGCCCCGGCUAACUACGUGCCAGCAGCCGCGGUAGUACGUAGGGGGCAAGCGUUAUCCGGAUUUACUGGGUGUAAAGGGAGCGUAGACGGUCAAUUAAGUCUGAAGUGAAAGCCCGGGGCUCAACCGCGGGAUUGCUUUGGAAACUGGAUGACUAGAGUGCAGGAGAGGUAAGUGGAAUUCCUAGUGUAGCGGUGAAAUGCGUAGAUAUUAGGAGGAACACCAGUGGCGAAGGCGGCUUACUGGACUGUAACUGACGUUGAGGCUCGAAAGCGUGGGGAGCAAACAGGAUUAGAUACCCUGGUA
Molecule: ribosomal RNA, 434 nt
Filed under: uncultured Clostridium sp.
Lineage: Bacteria; Bacillati; Bacillota; Clostridia; Eubacteriales; Clostridiaceae
Description: partial 16S ribosomal RNA
Rfam family: Bacterial small subunit ribosomal RNA
Source: RNAcentral